Molecule: ribosomal RNA, 237 nt
Filed under: uncultured bacterium
Lineage: Bacteria
Description: partial 16S ribosomal RNA
Rfam family: Bacterial small subunit ribosomal RNA
Source: RNAcentral
GAUCCUGGCUCAGGAUAAACGCUGGCGGCGCACAUAAGACAUGCAAGUCGAACGAACUUAACCAUUAGUUUACUAUUGGAGCGGUUAGUGGCGGACUGGUGAGUAACACGUAAGCAACCUGCCUAUCAGAGGGGAACAACAGUUAGAAAUGACUGCUAAUACCGCAUAUGCCUUAGAAUCACAUGGUUCAAAAGGGAAAGGAGUAAUCCGCUGAUAGAUGGGCUUGCGUCUGAUUAG